Ipomoea triloba (trilobed morning glory) is the source of this 85-nucleotide small nucleolar RNA. The record is from RefSeq and is a predicted model, not a curated record. Lineage: Eukaryota; Viridiplantae; Streptophyta; Magnoliopsida; Solanales; Convolvulaceae.
AUGCCAAUGAGGAUUGUAAUUAAACAUAUCUGGAAUUACCGUCUGAAUUCACCAUUGAUGUCAGAUCGACUAUCUGAGGCUUUUC